GUUACAUGCACAUGAUGAAAACUAUGUUGGUAGGGACAUCUGAGAAGGUGAUGAAUACCAACAUCUCUGAGCUGGAUAU
Molecule: small nucleolar RNA, 79 nt
Organism: Sphenodon punctatus (tuatara)
Lineage: Eukaryota; Metazoa; Chordata; Lepidosauria; Sphenodontia; Sphenodontidae
Source: Ensembl